GUGAGUAGUGGCCCUGUCUCUGUUGGUCAAAACAGUGCACCAACCAAUCGAGGAGCUCUCUGAAUCUUUUUCCAUCCUUGGAAAUCUGCUGAGUGACAGUGGCCAUGGCAACAGCCCGGCUCUGUGCGGCUCCCUUUGCACCCCCGCUGUGCAGCGUUUGAUGGCAGUUAAAUGUGUUGUGGAGUAAUUGGGUUGUGGACCGGAUGAGAUAUGUCCCCUAAGGUGUGACAGAAUGUGCGAAAUGGAGCAGGUGGUGGAAGCCCAGAGGCUCCCCCAUGCACGCUGCAGCGUUCAAGCCAAUGGUUAUUUCCUUACCAGGUGUAAACCGCUCCGCUCUGUCAUCCUGUCUGUGUGACAGCUUGGAGUGCGUGCAGGUCUGGAAAAUGAAAUCAAGUUAUACUGCUAGACAGGAACAAUAACAAUUCACUGUGGCAUAAUAAAUUCUGAUACGAAUAAAGAGGUUGUCCUCAUAUUGCAAUAUUAACUGUAUCUCACCACUUGUGUCUCAAAAACAUACACAGUUGUGUGUUGCAGGCACUAAAAAUGCCAGCGGACCUGAUUGAUGUUCUGGACUGUCUCAACCGCCGCCUGAGAAUGUCAACAACCGGUCCUUUCAACACUUUCGAUCACUGACCAUGAUCAUGACCCACCCACACCCGUGCACCUCCUCAACUGCGGAUGCCUGGUCGUGUCCCAUCAAACCGUCCAACCAGAAGCCCUUCAUGAGACGUCCCAACUUCCUGCUCCAUUCCUCAUCGCCAGCACCAGUGUCUUGGCUGCGACGGAGCUGACAUGGAAAACCACAGUGCGGGAUGGUGGCAGGAGCCUGACAGAUGCGAGCCUGAGAUGAUACCCAGACUAAAGUGCCUGACUUAGGUGAGUACAACAUAAUGGUAUAUUUUCCCCUCUUCUUCAGGCUCCCGAUCGGCCCUCAUGGCUUCACGCUCCGGGUUACA
Scophthalmus maximus (turbot) is the source of this 956-nucleotide long non-coding RNA. The record is from Ensembl. NCBI's taxonomy places the organism in Eukaryota, Metazoa, Chordata, Actinopteri, Pleuronectiformes, Scophthalmidae.